Symphalangus syndactylus (siamang) is the source of this 1834-nucleotide long non-coding RNA. RefSeq lists it as uncharacterized. The record is from RefSeq and is a predicted model, not a curated record. Lineage: Eukaryota; Metazoa; Chordata; Mammalia; Primates; Hylobatidae.
GAGAAACUGAGACGGUCCGGAAAGAGCCGAAGGCGGUGUCCGGGUGGGUGGCAGGAGGUGGAAACAGCCGAAAGAAAAGCAGCCAGGGCUGGACAAUCUCGGCUCACCACAACCUCCGCCCGCCAGGUUCAAGCGAUUCUCCUACCUCAGCCCUCCCGAGUAGCUGGGACUACAGGCUAGAAUGCAAUGGCGCGGUCUCGGCUCACUGCAACUUCUGCCUCCCAGGUUCAAGCGAUUCUGCUGCCUCAGCCUGCUGAGUAUCUAGGAUUACGGGCACCUGUCACCACGUCCAUCUAAUUUUUGUACUUUUAGUAGAGGCAGGGUUUCACCAUGUUGGCCAGGCUGGCCUCGAACUCCUGACCUCAGGUGAUCUGCCGGCCUUAGCCUCCCAAAGUGCUGGGAUUAUAGGUGUGAGCCACCACGCCUGGCAACCUUCGCUACUUUCUGUCAAUUUCCUGUUCCUUUCCCUCUCCCCUACUUUUUGGAUGCUCUUGUAACCAUUUUUUUUUUUUUUUUUUCCCAAGAUUGAGUCUUGCUCUGUUGCCCAGGCUGGAGCGCAGUGGCGAGAUCUCGGCUCACUGCAAGCUCUGCCUCCCAGGUUCACGCCAUUCUCCUGCCUCAGCCUCCUGAGUAGCUGGGACUACAGGUGCCCGCCACCACGCCCAGCUAAUUUUUUUUUUUUUUUUUUUUUUGAGAUGGAGUCUCGCUCUGUCGCCCAGGCUGGAGUGCAGUGGCGCUAUCUCUGCUUGCUGCAAGCUCCGCCUUCUAGCUUCACGCCAUUCUCCUGCCUCAGCCUCCCGAGUAGCUGGGACUACAGGCACCCACCACCAUGCCUGGCUAAUUUUUUUUUUAUUAUUAUUUUUAGUAGAGACGGGGUUUCACUGUGUUAGCCAUGAUGGUCUCAAUCUCCUGACCUCGUGAUCCGCCCGCCUCGGCUUCCCAAAGUGCUGGGAUUACAGGCGUGAGCCACCAUGCAUGGCCAAUUUUUGUAUUUUUAGUAGAGAUGGGGUUUCAUCAUAUUGGCCAAGCUGGUCUCAAACUCCUGACCUCAUGAUCCGCCUGCCUUGGGCUCCCAAAGCGCUGGGAUUACAGGUGUGAGCCACCGCGCCCAGCCAGAAUUUUUUCUUUUUUCUAGAGAAGGGGGUCUCCCUAUGUUGCCCAGUCUGGUCUUGAACACCUGACCUUAAGUGAUUUUCCUACCUCGGCCUCCCAAAGUGGUGGGAUUACAGGUGUGAGCCACUGCGGCCAGCCAGCAAUUAUUAUGCUGACGAAAGACCUGUUUUUUCUCUAGUUCCUGGGUUGGCUCUAGGGAGGGUUAUUCACACUGUGAGUGAGGAGGCAUUCACAGAGAAGUUCCUCCAGAGUGUGGAAGAAGCACUACCAUUUGGCACCAACCCCUGGAGACACCUGGAGAACAAAGGAGGAGACCAUUGGCCAAAGAGGGGCAUUCCAUUUUGUUGGAGCCUGCUGACCACCAACCCGUAGCUUUUUUCCCUUUCUUCCUUGCUAAUCCAGUCGCAGAUUCAUUGAGGAGGUGAGAAGUACUGAGAUCCAGGCUGGAAGAGGAGUGAUUGGUCUACCUGGUUCUCAAGGGAUAAUGUUGCCCCCUAGAGGACAUUUUGGAAAUUAUUAAGGAAAAUUGGUUUUUGGUUGUCAUCUGGUUCUCAAGGGAACAGUAUUGCUUCCUUGGGAGCAUUUUGGAAACUUACCUUUUUUCAUCGUCACAAUGGUGAAGGCUUUGUUACUGGGACUAGAGGUCAAGGACCAGACAUGCCAAGAUGUUCUGCAAUAUAGCAUUCCUAAUUAAUAAUCACCUAAUAAAUAAAGUUCAUGA